ACCUGAUCCCAUCCCGAACUCAGAAGUGAAACGCAAUCGCGCCGAUGGUAGUGUGGGGUCUCCCCAUGUGAGAGUAGGUCAUCGCCAAGC
This 90-nucleotide ribosomal RNA is filed under the name Shewanella sp. CG12_big_fil_rev_8_21_14_0_65_47_15. The record is from RNAcentral. Lineage: Bacteria; Pseudomonadati; Pseudomonadota; Gammaproteobacteria; Alteromonadales; Shewanellaceae. RNAcentral also lists the same sequence under 1 other name.